CACAUUUAGUCAAGCAAUGGACAGACACGAUAGGCCAGCUUCAGGCAUGUCUGCUGGAGAAGGAGAAAGAACUGCUGACCCUCAACAAUCUGCUGUUUAGCCAUGAGGAUACAAUCCAUACUCUUGAGAAUGAACUGGCCAAUGAGAAGAUCAAAUAUGACUCAAAGACCAAGGAGCUCCAGGAUGCUUUGGAACAGUCCAAUGAGGAGAUGGCAGAGAAAGACUUCCUCCUAACAGAGAAGGAGAUUAAUCUGAAGGAGCUGGAAGCUGCCGUAAAGACAUUCAACUGCACACUGCAGGAAAAAGAUCAAUUGCUACAGGAGGGCCAUGUGUGCACAUGCCCUGACAUGACCACUGGUCACCAUCAGGAAUCAGUGUUACAGCAGCAG
This 389-nucleotide long non-coding RNA is filed under the name Salmo salar (Atlantic salmon). RNAcentral's name for it is "lncRNA (ENSSSAG00000112413.1)". The record is from RNAcentral. Lineage: Eukaryota; Metazoa; Chordata; Actinopteri; Salmoniformes; Salmonidae.